AUGGCGUCGAGCGGUGCAAUGGUGUUGGCCAUGAUGGGCCUCCUCGCCGCGCUGGUCUGCCCUGCUGCUGCGGCGGCGACGGAGUUCAUUUCCAUGCCCACCGACAACGUCGGCGACCACUCCUACGGCGUCCACGCCACGGUCUGCCCCAACCUGGAGAACAUUGUGCGCGACAAGGUGGCGGAUGCACGCAGAAACGACAUCAGCGUCGUCGCCGGCCUCCUCCGCAUCUUCUUCCACGACUGCUUCCCUAACGGCUGCGACGCAUCGCUCCUGCUGGAACCAAGUCACCUCUACUCCAGCGAGCAGGACCUUCCCCAAAACAAAGGGCUGCACGAGGGCGCGCUCCAACUCAUCCAGCGUAUCCGCGAUGCCGUGCGCGAAGCCAAGUGCACGGACGUGUCGUGCGCCGACAUCACCAUGCUCGCCACCCGGGACGCCCUCAUGAUGUCCGGGGCACCAAGGUACGACGUGCACCUUGGCCGCAAGGACAGCAAGCGCCCCGCCUCGUUUGCCGAGGUCGGACGCUUCCUGCCCGCACGCGAUGCCAAGAUCAGGGAUCUCAUCCAGGUCUUCGACAGCCGCGGCUUCAACAAGGGUGACCUAGUCGCGCUCUCCGGCGCACACACCAUCGGCAAGGCAACCUGCCCGAGCCUAGAAUUCCGCACCGGGGAGCCUGCCUGGUUCGUCAAGGCAAUCAAAGAGAAUUGCCCCAGAUCAGGGGACAAGAAGCACAUACUCGAUGUUACCACCCCCGACGUGUUCGACAACAAGUACUACGGCAAUCUCCUCGUAGGGUUGGGUGUGCUUGGCACCGACAUGGAGCUCCUCCAACACCAGGAAACAAGAUUUUUUGUAGAAAACUGGGCUAAGGACGAGCAUCUGGGGUGGUUCCAUGGGCACUUCGCCGCCGCCAUGAAGAAGAUGGCAGAUUUGCCCGUGGACCCAAAUGGCGAGUACCGCGACAACUGCUUCAGGCCCAAGUUGGUGAGGAACCUCACCGCAGACGGUUUCGUGGCCUCGGCUUGA
Molecule: ribosomal RNA, 1029 nt
Filed under: Triticum aestivum (bread wheat)
Lineage: Eukaryota; Viridiplantae; Streptophyta; Magnoliopsida; Poales; Poaceae
Description: partial small subunit ribosomal RNA
Source: RNAcentral